GCUCGGGGUUAGGCUGGGCAUCGGUCAGCGGGUGGAAAAGAACUGAUUUAUUAAAUCCCCUUUGACUUCACUGUGAAUUUGGAAUGAACAAGAAAUAUAGAUAUGAGCAUGAAACGCUAGUAAAAUCUGGAACACCGCAGAAGUCAUUCAUUUGACUUGAAAAUCUAAGUGAAAUUCUCCAUCAGCGUGUAGAAAUUGUUGGUUUAGUUAAUUAUAUUUGUUGCUUGACUAUCCAAAGACGGAAAUCAUACCUGGACAGCGGUCAGGAACAAUUCCAGGAUGCCUCUCAAAAAUAAAAACUUGCACUAAAGGAGACAGGUGCUCUUCAAAUAACUCUUCUUUUGCAGUAAGAGAGGGAGGAACAACUCCGUAAAGAAAGGUGAAGGAAUCCCAGCUUGAGAUACAAGAUGAACUCUGUCCUUCUCAUAAGGAUCCAAUCAUACUGGUCUACAGAAGCUGUGUUUUAUCAUCCUCCAUCACAGCCCCUGGGGAUUUAUUGCCACACACGUAUCAACUGGAGAGCCAUAUAUGCUUUCCUCCUUGAACAGCCAAAGCAACAAACACUUGCUUUGAAAACAGCUGUACUAGAGACAAAUCCUUCGGGCAGGGAGGCGCGGAUAUCAGUGGCAGUAUUUUAAAGAGAAGUGAAGGUAUAUACCAAAGCAGUAAGUGAUAUUGCAGACUGUGUACAACUUGUGUGACUUUUCAGUACACUUUCUCUGAAGUUAUGAAAGUUAUGAAAUGUGUUCAAUGAACUUUAUACAUAUGAAACAAGUUUCUGCUUGAAAACAUUUAUUUUGUCUGAAAAGUGAUGCUCAUUUUUUUUAAGUAACACUGCAUAUAGGAUAAGUCCUCUAGUGACAUCUCUAUGAACUAUAGUAUGUGUGUGGAGGGCAAUUUUAGCUAACUAGAAGCUAGAAACCUAAGCUAAAUUGAGGUGAAUCUCACUUAAGAGGACUGUUUCAGAAGACACCACAGAUUUGAGGUUCAAUUUUAAAAUAAACAUACAAAAUGGAGAUAGGACAAGAACUUCAUUACUGUCAGCAAUAAGAAGACUUCAGAUUUCUUUAAGCUUCAAGGAAAAGUUUUAAAAUAAAAACAAACCAACAAUAACAACCACAAAACUUCUAAUUGAAUAACAAACUGAUUUAAAAGGUAAGAUAUUGCAGUGUAAAAAUAAAUAGAAACCUCAUUCCAGCCUUCUUACUAAAUUAUGUUUUCUGGACACAUACGUUAACAUGAACAAUUUUGACAUCAAACAGCAAGUAAAACCUAGAAAACAAUGCCAGAAGGUCCUUAAGGGAACAACUAAUCUACCUCUUGCUUCAGAAGAGGACUGUCCUGUCCUGUCUUAAACCUAGGUCACACUUUAAGACACUGGCUCUGCUUUUAACACCUUUGGUAUUGAAAUUCCCAUAGAAUCCUUAGGCAAGUUAUCCCCAUGCUUUAUAUUAUCAUGACUGCUAGAAAUAUUUUCAUACUGUUAAAUCUGAAUCUUUCUUACUGAAAUUUACUUGUCAUCUUAAUACUGUAUUCUCUUUUGCAACACCCUUGUACGUGUUUAAGGAGUGUUGUCGUUUUUCUUUAAUCACUCGUGGAAGAAGCAAUCCUAGUUCUGUCAAUCAGUUCUUGAUUGUCAGGCUAGGAAACAGAGCUCUCUUCUUGGAACUCUGCAGUAUAUGCUGCAGUUUGCUGCAAAUGCAUGCUCUCCCAAUUAAGGGAAUUUCAUCUGAACCAAAUUGCUAUUCAAAUAACCUAUUAAGAUUAUGUUGUACUAUCAACUCUCAAGUAUUCACUACUGAUUAAAGUGAUCUUUUCCAUGAAGAGGAAUAGAAAUACAGAGUUCUUCAAAGUCAAUAAAACAAUAACAGUCCUCAUUCAUCUCUUAUUUUUGCUGGCUUGAAAUUCCAGUAUCAUAGAAAUUUCACAGAAGAAAAGAGCUCAGCAUGAUCGUAUAGAGACACAACAAAAGGAUGAAGAAGGCUUACAGGAUGUCACAGACAAUUUGUUAACUAGAUAUAAACAUUCGGCAACUCUUUUUGAAAAUUUUUUUGAAAAUUUUGAAAAUUUUUACCAUUCUGUGAAACAGCAGUGUUAUUACACGUCUGCAGUGGUCUACUGAAUUAUGCAAACAAAUUGUGACAACAGCUGUUUGAAAGCCAGAGGGAAGUGAUUUUCAGAUUUAAUUCUUAAUAAAGAAAAACAUUUGAAGCAAUGCUGUCACCUCUGCUAACUUGAUUCAUACCACCUAUGAGCAAGAGGAAAACUAACUGUAGCUUAAAUGUAAUUACAUCUAGUAUAAACAAAAGAAAAAGACUAAAUUAGUUGUUAGAUGCAGAGAUAUGAGAAGAAAAAAAAGUCACUUAUUUAGUUCUUUUGAAGUAGGAAAGCAAUUAGUGCAGCACGGGCUUUAAAGUCAGAAGAAGAAAAAGAAGGGACACAUCAUAGUAAAGGAAAGAAAGAUUUCGCAAGUCAUACAAGUUUAUAACAUCAGUUGAGUCUAAGAAAUUGGAAAAAAAACAAAAUCCACAAAUAAAGUCUGGUAGAAAAAGAAGUACUUGCAGUUACGAGUGAUUCACCUUUUGCUAAAGAAUCAAAUCAUAGAAGCUGUAAAGAAUUCAAUAGUGUUAAAUAUUUUAAAUAAAUUUAGUAGCAAUGAGUCUGAUUUCCCUUGAGAAAGCAAGCAAUAGGAGAAAGUAUAUCUGAUUUCCCUGGGAUCAUUAAUAAGCUGUCCAAGUUAAAUUUGUUUAUCUUCUAAUGAAUCACCGCAUUUCCAAAAUUAAUUAAAGCAAUUAAUAUGUGUAACAGCCAUAUUUGACUGUAAAAAUAAGGAAUACAUAGAUCCAACAAAAAACUCACUGCAGGAUAUAAAAUUCCAUAUACACUAGUUGCAUCUUCACUGAAUCUAGAAUAUGUUUCAGUUUUCUGUCUGGAAGACAAAUGCUUUCCUCUCUUUCUCUCCUGGAAGAUCCACUGAGAUUUCAGAAACUGUUCUGUUUCAUAUGUCACCUAUUGAGGGAUCAAGUUUAGGCCUUGCUUUAGAAAGCUGUCUUCUUCCCCUAAACUAAGACAACCUGUUAAGUACAUCAAUUACACUGACAUGUCCUCAGGAAAAAAAAAAAAGAAAAAAAAAGUUUU
Non-coding RNA from Anas platyrhynchos (mallard), 3138 nucleotides. Lineage: Eukaryota; Metazoa; Chordata; Aves; Anseriformes; Anatidae. The record is from RefSeq and is a predicted model, not a curated record.